RNAcentral lists this ribosomal RNA (439 nucleotides) under uncultured bacterium. Its description in RNAcentral is "partial 16S ribosomal RNA". It matches the Rfam family "Bacterial small subunit ribosomal RNA", at positions 339 to 795 of the family's 1533-position model. The record is from RNAcentral.
CUACGGGUCGCACCAGUGAGGAAUAUUGCACAAUGGGGGGAACCCUGAUGCAGCAACGCCGCGUGGAGGAUGACGCAUUUCGGUGUGUAAACUCCUUUUAUAUGUCAAGAAAAUGACGGUAGCAUAUGAAUAAGCACCGGCUAACUCCGUGCCAGCAGCCGCGGUAAUACGGAGGGUGCAAGCGUUACUCGGAAUCACUGGGCGUAAAGGACGCGUAGGCGGGUUGGAAAGUCAGGUGUGAAAUCCUACAGCUUAACUGUAGAACUGCACUUGAAACUUCUAAUCUAGAGUAUGGGAGGGGGAGAUGGAAUUAGUGGUGUAGGGGUAAAAUCCGUAGAUAUCACUAGGAAUACCUAAAGCGAAGGCGAACUCCUGGAACACUACUGACGCUAAGGCGUGAAAGCGUGGGGAGCAAACAGGAUUAGAUACCCUUGUAGUC